UACGGAGGGUGCGAGCGUUGUCCGGAAUCAUUGGGCGUAAAGGGCGCGUAGGUGGCCCGGUCAGCGUGCGGUGAAAGCUCGGGGCUCAACCCCGAGUCGGCCGUGCGAACUGCUGGGCUUGAGCACUGUAGAGGCAGGCGGAAUUCCGGGUGUAGCGGUGGAAUGCGUAGAGAUCCGGAAGAACACCGGUAGCGAAGGCGGCCUGCUGGGCAGUGGCUGACACUGAGGCGCGACAGCGUGGGGAGCAAACAGG
This 253-nucleotide ribosomal RNA is filed under the name uncultured bacterium. RNAcentral describes it as "partial 16S ribosomal RNA". It matches the Rfam family "Bacterial small subunit ribosomal RNA", at positions 524 to 776 of the family's 1533-position model. The record is from RNAcentral.